GACGAACGCUGGCGGCGUGCUUAACACAUGCAAGUCGAACGGAAAGGCCCUGCUCUUGCGGGGUGCUCGAGUGGCGAACGGGUGAGUAACACGUGAGUAACCUGCCCUUGACUUUGGGAUAACUUCAGGAAACUGGGGCUAAUACCGGAUAGGAGCUCCUGCUGCAUGGUGGGGGUUGGAAAGUUUCGGCGGUUGGGGAUGGACUCGCGGCUUAUCAGCUUGUUGGUGGGGUAGUGGCUUACCAAGGCUUUGACGGGUAGCCGGCCUGAGAGGGUGACCGGCCACAUUGGGACUGAGAUACGGCCCAGACUCCUACGGGAGGCAGCAGUGGGGAAUAUUGCACAGUGGGCGGAAGCCUGAUGCAGCAGCGCCGCGUGCGGGAUGACGGCCUUCGGGUUGUAAACCGCUUUCGCCUGUGACGAAGCGUGAGUGACGGUAAUGGGUAAAGAAGCACCGGCUAACUACGUG
This 468-nucleotide ribosomal RNA is filed under the name uncultured bacterium. RNAcentral describes it as "partial 16S ribosomal RNA". It matches the Rfam family "Bacterial small subunit ribosomal RNA", at positions 28 to 507 of the family's 1533-position model. The record is from RNAcentral.